This 44520-nucleotide long non-coding RNA is filed under the name Malus domestica (apple). Its description in RNAcentral is "long non-coding RNA (MDOM_LNC010373)". The record is from RNAcentral. Lineage: Eukaryota; Viridiplantae; Streptophyta; Magnoliopsida; Rosales; Rosaceae.
AAAAAGGUUGAAGGGGGGAGAAUUAAGCCGAGCUGCGCCUUUAGCGUUGAGCAAAGCUGCGGAGGCAAGCAUCUGGGUUCCAAAAUGACGACUUUGCCGUUUUCUUCUCGAAUCAAAUUGGGCUACCACCUGCAGAGCCCAAAGUCCAAACUCAUCACCAUAAAUGACCUGUAGUCGUCCUUCUUCGGUGGAACCAGUCAUUUCUAACGAUAAAUCCACGAGAUUCUAGUCGCGAUCUCGUUGGGAUUCUUCAAGAUUCAACUUGAAUCUCUGAGUUUUUGGACCUCACUGACGUCGAGAUCAUUCUCCGUCACUGUGCAGUGGGUUCUUUUACUAACCUACGAUUUUUUUUACCUCCGUCUAGUUUGAAUCGUCACCAACCUGUCCCGAGCCUAAUACAUUUGCAGUAAAGCUACAGGGUUAUUCUAUACGGCAGCCAGCAAAUACUUCCCAAAUAUUUUGGUGUGUCAUCGACUAAAGCUUAAUUAGACUAUAUUUUCUUAAUCGAUUGACCUAAAGCCAUCUAAAGUGAAAAUGACACUACAAGAAAACAUGGCUUUUGUGACGACCAACAUUCAUCACAUAAAUAUGAAAAAUCGUCACAUUAGACUAUAUGUGACAAAAUUUCAACAUCACAAUUAGCAUCACCUAUACAACAUCACCGAUAGUUUAAGUGAAGACUAUUGGAGUUGCCACAUAUUUUCCUUUUACGUGACACUUCUUCCGCCACUUAUUAUUCUAGGGGUGUGAUAUCUACACACCCCAAUUUACUUCUCACACUCCUUUUUAAUUUUCGGCCAUCAGAUCGGAUGAAUUGAAAAAGAUCAACAAACAGAAAUUAUCAAGGAGUGUGUGAGAAGUAAAAUGAUGUGUGUGGAUAGCACACUCAUAAUUCUAAUAUGUGACGAAAUUAGCGUCACAAAAUACAAAAUUUAGUGACCUAUGUUUUUUGUCUCAUAUCAGACUUAUAAGUGAUACUUUUUGGGUCACUCAAUAUGAUCCCAGAAUUAUAUAAUUACACUAAGUAACACUGAAAUUGUCACAUAUUCUUUUGAUCGAUGAAACGGCUUAUGUCACAUACGUUAUAAUCAAAUAACUAUUUAGGAAUAAUAUUUAAGGACUUCAUUACUUAUUCGUGUUUUGUAAUCUAGGAUAGCAACUCAUAAUAGUUAUAAGAUAAUACUUCCCAUUUUCAUUAAUCAACAAUAAAACCACAUAAGUUCGAAUAUGUUCAACAACUAUACAUCCAACAAAAUAACAUAAACAUCCCAAAAUCAAUCUAAUCCAUGGUGACCUAUCUUAAUAAUAGCAAUUUGUGAAGAAGGGUACCAAGGCCUAUACAUGGAUUGUUUAAAGUACUAAUUAACAAAAGAAAAGUCUAAGACACAUUGAGGUGCUAACAAAAAGGUCUACCAUGUGCAAACUUAACUAAUAACAAAAGACAUAACUAUCGAAAUCAUUCUUCUUCCGAGUCAUGUUCUUCCAGUUCAGGAUAAACAUUUUCACUAGAUGAGUUAUUACCAUCAGAUUCCUUGGAGUUGUGUUAUUCUGCCCCUGACUUGCAGCCAAAAAAGCCUUAAUUUUUAAUGUCAAUGUUUCAUCAUCAUUUUGUAAAUCCAACUGAGCUCUCAAUUGUUCAUUUUCUUGUUGCAAUUUGGGGAAACCAUCUGAUAGAAUCUUGAUCUGAUCUCUCAUAUCAAUUAACUAAGAACUUGAAGCCAUAGAAGAAACACAAUAAAGGUAUCCGUACGAGGGAAAAGACCUACACCAUUAACAGAUUGUCCCUUCCUUCCAAGGUUUUCAACCUUGAUUCCAAAUUCAUCUUCCAAUGGUACUUGUAUGGAAACGAAUAUAGUACCCUCAGGCGCUUCUUGGAUUAGCUUCUCCCUAACUUCAUCCUUCUUUUUCUUCAUGUUAUCCUUUCAUAUUAAAAUACAAACAAAUAAGUUUCUUUUGUUUCAAACAAAUCAACCACAAUAUGCUUAAAAAAAUACCACUUAAAUACUUGGAUGUGAUCCUGAACUGAUGUAGAAGCAAACCAUUGUGUAAAAACUAUCUUUACAUAUGAUUUUGUAGUUUAUGAUUCAAAGUGUUUUAAAUAGGAUUAGGCAACAUGCAACAUAUAACCUUUAAAGUAGUUUUUGUUUGAAUGUAUGUUAGGUAUAACCUUCCAGCUUCUAGCUAGUUAUAUUAAGAUUGGCUAGUUAUAUUAAGUUUUUUUUUUCAAUUCAAUCUUGCAUGUUCACUUUAUUUGUGUUUCCUAAGUUGUAUCAUGUCAAAUUUGAUUUUUUUUUUAAUUUCCAUCUCCUUUUAAAUGACACAAAUGAUAAGUCCGUGAAUGACUUACACAUUUUUCCUGGGCAACAUCAUUUAUCCACUGACCGUUCUUGUCUUUAUGAAGAGCCCCCCAAUUGUCAAUCACAAAUAAUGGAUUUCCUUUCUGCUAAAUCAUGCAGAAACAUACAUUAGAAUAUGUAAAGUCGAUAAUGAGUAUAAUAAGUAAUUUAAUUUCAUUACCAUCUGGGCCUUCCUAGCAUGUUGGAUAAAUGGCCUUGCCCCCCCCCCCUUUGUGGUGAUAUUUCUAUUUCUUCCUAUUAUCAACAUUUUGCUUUGAAAGCUCAUGCAUUACACAUUUGGUACAUGACAUACAAAAGAAGAUUUAGUUAGUUAUACAUGUGUACAAUUUGGAAAGUUUCAAGCUCUCGAACUUGUCAUAUAUAACUUCAUGUAUUUCAGUUGUACAUAGUCAUUCACCUUACAAGGGCUAUCUCAUCUAACCUUCUAUAUUAUCUUGGUCAACAAUGUUAGAAAUAGCACAAGCUAAGGAGAGAGAAACAUAUAAGUACCAAGCUUAAGGAAAUUGAAUGGAAGAUACUCUUUCUUCUACCAAGGGCAUUAGGCUAACACAGUUAGUCAAAUGAGUAUAUGAUAACCAUUUUCAGACUUUAAAUUUUAACUCCAAAUUACCUAAGUGUCAAGAAGAAACAAUCAACAAACUUCAUAUUUUAACUCAAAUUUACCUAAGUGUAAAGAAGUAACAAUCAAUUUAACCACAAGGUGAAAUUCAUUAAUGCAUGUUAGGAUAUAUUUUUUUUCAAAUAUGGCUAUCGAAACAGAGGCUAUAUUAACAUUGCCAUAUUCCUAAUUCUAACCUAAUUAAAUAGGUGUUUGAGCAGAUUUGACAAUUACAAGUAAAAAAGUGUGUGGCUAUAUAGCCAAGUAAGCUAAGAUACAUAAAUCCUACCCUAACACAAUAUAAAUUUUCUAGACAAAGAACAUGAGAUCUUAAUCACACUCAAAGAAACAAAAUUUAUUUAAAACAAACAGUUGAAACACUAAUCGGUGGCCAGCAAAAUGGCAUUAAGCAGAUGAGUUCCAUAAGAACAAAUUAGAUGAAUAAAGCAACCAACUACAAGACAGGGAAAAUCUCAAUAAAUAAAGGGAAAAUAUGAAACAAAAAGUAACAAAGCCAAGAUGCAUAAAUUUUAGCCAAAAAUACUGAAUUUAAAGAAUGAACACAAAAAAUGUCUAUGCAUUUCACUUUGUAAGGAUUAACCAACUAAAAUGAAAAUGAAGAAGCAUAUAAGGUAAGUGCUAGAAUGCAAGAGUUAUAACUAGAAACACUGUGUUUGAAGAACACGACAAGUCACAAUUUCACAUUGGAAAAUUAAGCAAAUGACAACCAAUGAAAACGAAGCAUAAAAGGUUAGAGGUUCUGACUAUAAAAUUGAAUUUGUAGAACACGACAAGAAGUCUUCAUGUUGAAAGAAUUGGUUUCUAACUUGGAUUUAUACUAGAAAAGAUUGUAUAGAAUACAUACCAAAAAGAGUAGUAGUGUAAACAUUAUCAUAUAACCAAUCCCAAUGACUCUUUGGUCUCCCAUUCCAUAUCAUAUCAUUUGGAAGCUUAGCUCAUCAUCUCGCAGGUGUUCCACAUGACAAGUAGUGCAAAUGCAGCUGGUGCCUAACUGAGAGUACAACUUUACCAUCUUCUUGUCAACAUAUUCAAUAAUCUUCAGAUGGGAUAAGUCCACAACAAAUAAUACCUAUUGUUAAACAUAAAAUAUGCAAGUGAGUGCUUGAAAUUACAAUGAAUAAAUUGAAUUAAAUUCAAAACUGACAAGCAACUUCUCUCGCGAUUUCUUCUUUUCUGAAGCUGGGACCUUAAACCAUCUCUCAUAGCAAACCGGUGAAUAAGUCCGAACAAUAUUCCCUAUCUCGGAUGUGAAAAAACCUGACACAACUGGAUCACUUGGAACUUGAUGUUUAAAAUCAAAGAUGAUUGGCAUCUUCAGCCCGUUAUUGGCCUCCAAAAUAUCAUGGACGUCUUUCCCACAUGACUUUCCACGAGUCAUCUUUUUUACAAAAAAAAGUCAAAAUCUGUCUCUAGAAAAAUAUAGGUAUCUCUAAUCAAUGUAAUGUGUUGUUUAAAGCUACAUUAUAAAGGAAAAAGUAAAUAAUUAUAACUACCUUCCUUACCUAGGUUAGUGUUUGUUGGCGAAGGUGCAAGUGGUGAUGAGGAAGUAUUGGCGGAGGAGUUGGCGGAUGAGGUGCAAGUGCAUCAUUUGGAGGAGGAGGUAAGGGAUUCCUCACCCUUUUCACCCUCUUUCCUCGCGAAGGUGUAGGUGGUGGUGGUGGAGAAGGUGGCGGAUGAGGUGGUCGUGGCAGUGCAAAUGCAUCAUUUGGAGAGGAGGUAAGGGAUCUCUCACCCUCUUCACCCUAUUUCCUUGUUGUGUAGAAGUUUCCAUCUAAAUAUGAAACAUAAAAGUAAAUAACACAACCAAAAUGUUAAUAUAUACAAAUAUAAACCAUUAUAAGCAUAGUGACUACUUAUAAAAUGACAAGCAAAUAUAUUUACUAUUGUAGGAUAAUAAACAUUAAUUUAUAAUGCGUAGAUAUCACUAUAGUCAUCUAUUGUAAUCAUCAUUAGUAUCAUUGGUUCCAACAUUCUCCUCCUCAUCAUCCUCUUCCUCCUCCUCUUCCACGUUCUUUUCUUCCUCCUCCUCCUCAUCCCUCUGUAGGCCUAGCAUUUUUCGAACCUCCUCAUUGUUAAUAUCAAAAGAUUCAGGAUCAACAUCAUCUCUACAUAAUGAUUUAUCAACUUCAUCGUCAUUAUGGACCGGCCUUGUAGAAUUUUCAGUUUCAUCUACAUACUCAUCAUCGUCUUCGUUAGUGGCAUUGUCCUCCUCCUCAUCAUCAUCAUCUUUCUCAAGAACAUCCCAAAUGUGUCUAUGUUGUAUCUUUUGCACAACUUUCCAUGGAUGACCCAAUUUUAGCUAACACAUUCAGAUCACCAUCUUACCAACGAUUAUUUACAUUCAAUGAUGUAAGAUGAUAAUCCCAUAUAACUUUUUUACCUCUUGUAUCUGUAUUGUACCAAUGACAAUUGAAAAAAAAAAAUCACCUUAAAACCUCUAGUAAAUUCUAAUUUAAUGAAAUUAAUUAAGAUGCCAUAAAAGUUACAUGUUUCACCAUUGUGCGACCCCGGCGUCAUAACCCCACUGUUCUGUGUUGUACGGUUUUGAUCAACAUGUCUGACCGAAUAUCAAAUCUCGUUCACAAUACAACCUAUGUAUUGGACAAUAUGUUGAUAUGAACCUUGGGCUAAUGAAAAAAUCUAUUCACUAACCAAUCUAGGCUCUUGAUAAUACAAUGACGUGACCCGCUGCCUAAACCAUUCCAGAAACAACUGUUUAUACCUUUGUUGUGCAUUAGCAUGACUAUCUCUUUCCAAAAUCUCGAUAUGCUCACUGCAUAAAUAAAUAAAAUAUAAGUGAAAGUUGUGGAAUUAUAAUUAUUUAAAUAAAUGUUCAACUAUUUCACAUACUUUCUGAAGUCUUCUAUUUUGUCACAAUUAUCUAAGAUACACCAAUAAGCCACUUGUGUAUCUUCCCUUGAAAGUUGAACCAUUACAUGAGCACCAAAUAGACGUGUUUUUAAGCAAACAUUGAAAUGAGCGCAUUGGGAUUACUACCAUAAUCGUUUCUUUCUGGUCUGAUGCGUAAAAUAACUAAACACACAAAUUAAACCCUCUUGUUGACAAUUGUAGUAUAUGUAUAAGUAGGGAUCGUUCUAGACCAGGGAUUAGGAGGGAUUGCUAAUCUACUCUAAACUGACUUAGAAACACAAAAAUAAACUUUAAGACACUAAACUAGACUCAAAAGACUCAAAACAAACUCAAAAGACUCAAAACAAGCUAAAAACACUCAAAACUGCCUAAAAACACAAACUGGGCAGUUUUUGAACUCUAACACUAAUUUGGACAAAAUUGAGUUAUAACUUGAACCAAAACACUUAAAAACACAAACUAAAGUACUUUCUAACUAAUAAGACUCAAUAAAGUCAAGGGGGUUUUGAUUUUGGACGAAAUUAAACUUGCAAAACAGAUUGUAAAUUGAAAACAUAUUCUAGACGAAUUUGGAUCAAACUAUGGAUGAUGGGCUAGCUAGAGGGUUCUCCUCCACACAUGACACACUUGCAUACAAACCAAUUUUCAGUUGUUCGUUCAAUAAAUCAUGAAACUCAACACCCCAGGUUAAUUAGGUCCGCUUAAAUUAACCUUCAAGUUCUCCUUAAGUUAUUGAAUUGGAUGGGAAAGCACAUACAACAAUUCAAAGCAUUCUCUAAAAGUCCCCUACGUGAAAAGCACUAUAAAGGUACAAUCAAAGAUCAUUAAGUUUCAUGAAAACUAUAAGCAUUGACAAGGCAAUUGUAACUAUGAAAAGCAUGAAACUUUUGCCAAGAAUUCACUUAACACGAUCGUUUAUAAGCGACCUCCACUACUUGCAAAUAUAAGUUUGUAACUAUUAGGUGAAACUCCCUUAUAUUUUAGCUUCAAAUCCUUGCAUGAAAGCUAAGUGUACACUCUUAAUAAACAUACAAGAAUAAGUUAUCAAUCAAACGGUUAAGCAAAUUGAAUUCACAACUUAUGAAAUAACAACUGAAGGUAAUCAAUUCAUAAUGCAAGUAUAAUCAUGGUAUUGAAUAGCCCCCUAGCCAAGAGGGGCUUAGUUCCUCAUGUUCGCAAAACAAAGAUACAUAAACUUAAACAUUGAAAACAAAAGAAAGAUUACACCUAGAAACGCUCCAACAAUCCAACGUCUUGAAUGGCAAGCACGUCCAAGGGUCUCCUUCUUUCUUCUUUGCUGCGACACAAGGGUGUUUGGUGAUGAUUUGUGGUGAAUUGUGGUGGGAUGGAUGUAGGUAGGUUAUGGUGAAGGAUGGAAUGGCUGAUUAGAAGAGUCCCCAGAACUUGCGACAAAGGGUAGUAUAUAUAGGCUAAGGUAAGGUUUUGAUGUGUUUUAGGGAAAGAAAUAACUUAUCUAUUGAAGGAAGAUUUUGUAAAAACAUGUUCAUUUGAGCAACAUCUAUAGCAUGCAAUUAACAAUUAAAAGGCGGAAUCAUGCUUGCAUGCACUCAAAAACAAAACAUUACCCAUGAAAUUCAAGGCCUAGUAGAUUGGUGAACCAAGACUCAACUCAAAUCAAAGUGAGUUGAGAAAUUUAUACCUUUGUAGAUUCCUCUUUGCAUAAGCAAAGGCUAAUCACCCAAAGAGAGGGCCUUCAUUCCUUGCUUCUUAGAUCCAUGGAUUUGGAUGGAAGAAUAGAUUCUCCAAGUUCCCAAAAUUGAGAACCUCUAAGUUUCCACACCAAGGAUGGAUUGAUGAAGAAAUUAGUGACCUAGAGGAAGCAAGAUUGCUAGUUAAUUUCCUCUAGGGUGGCCGGCCUCUUUAGAGAGAAAAGAGAGCUUUGUGUUCUCAUCUUUUCUCCAAAAGAAACCCUAAAUGAAUUUUGGCUAUAAAGUCACAUUUAUACCUUAAUUCAUUGGAGUGGCAAACUUGUAAAUAAGUCCAAAACCCACUCCAUCUCUAAAUGGCCGGCCAUUGGGUUUCAUUGGGCUUUUAGGGCCUUUGUGAAUUAUUAGUCAUUAAGUUGUCAUACAACUUAAGUCAAUGGGCUUGACGUUCGAAGCCCAUUGGGCCUUGAGGCCCAAAACUAACCCGUGGUCUUUUAACGAACUUAUUCGUUUGAUUAAUUAACAUAUUAAUUAAUCCUUGCCAUAAAUAAUUAAACCAUUUAAUUAUUCUUACUCAUCUCCGUUGUUUCUUCAAUCUUUACCUUACACGGUGUACGAUCCAUUAGGUUCCUUUUAGCGAGGCAGUGGGCGAUUAGAACUCUUUCAAACCGAUUGUGAAUUGAAACUUACUUUCAAUUCUCCCUUUAGUGAUUAUACACGUUUAGGGCUUCCACAAACCAUGAGUGACACCUAGCAGCAUAUCAUGGUUACCCAAGCUAAUCAGAAGAGGUGGAGAACCUAUUAAGUUUAGGAUUACAAAUGCAAUACGGUCUUUCUCUAAUACAAUACUCUUGACCACAUUGUUUGGUUUGAUAGUUUAUUCAUGUCUACUAUCCAAUGUGAUUCGUUUACUUAUAUGAUUACCUUGAAUGUGAUUUGGAACGCCUUCCUAAAUCUCAUUCAUACUCUGAUCAGAGAUUUUCAAUCAUAUCAUAGAGUAUUCUCCCCCAAACGGUUUGAAGGUUAGAGAUCCCUUGUUGCGCAUUCAAUUGCCUCCAUGGCUAAGUGGCUUAACCCCAACGAUGUCGUGGACACCCGCGGAUGGGGUGACUUUGACAUAAUCAAAGAUCAAGGACUUAACCACAAGACAACUGUGAUGCCUCGGGUCAAAGGACUACUUUGCAUUAUCCCAACCAUGAGUUCUCAUGUGACAUGAAUAUGAGAACUCUUCGUUGAUCGUGUUCAGUGAACUCAUUCUCUAUUGAGCACCUACGUACUUGUCUUGAUGUCACACACACCAAUGACUCGAGACUAGUCAUUCUUCCUGGGAGAAGACACAGCACAUACUGAUCUUAACGGACUGUCAAUGCCCAAUUGGCAAUCCUAUGAUCAGGAACGUUUAGGAUGUGUCUACGAAAGAAUGGUCUCAUGAAUCUAACUUCUUUAGAUUGCAUUCUCCCAAUCACAUAUUCCUUGGACUUAUCGUUUAAGCAUAUAACAUUUAUAUGAGACGGCUCGAACAAUAAUCUUUGCCCUUUAUAUUUAAACUACAUUAGUUUAACUUUGUGAAAUGUCCGUAAAGUAUCAUCAUAUGAUUGGUUUUAGGGCACAUUUCCAACAGCUAUCUUGUCCAAUAAUUAAAAGUCAGAAAUCAAUGGAAAAUAGGCAAGAAAGGUGCAGGAAUUAAAGAGAAUAGAAAAGGGAAAUUCGGCAGAAAUUGUAGGCAGAUUUUAGGAAUGUGUUUUAGGUCAGAAAAUAGGCAAGAAAGGAUAUAAGGUGCGGCAUAGGUUAAGGGAGAAAGGGAAAGGAGAUUUGGGACACAAAAUAGGGAAGAAAACAAUCCCCUUGCACGGCAAAGCAUUGGACAAAAAUAGGAAUGUGUUUAAUUGCAGGAACUAGGAAAACAGAAAGGGAAACAAGGAAGGUAAAGUAGGAAAAUAUGAAGGUGGGUGCGGCAAAGAUUAGGGAUAGGUCUAGGUCUUCUAGAAGCAUUUAUUUAGUGUCCUAAAAUAUUUAGGAAGCCUCCUUGCAGCUGGAACAUAGGUGAAUUAGGAUUAGGAAAGUUUAGAGCCAAAGAUGGAAACCUCCAAGAAUAGAAACUUCCAACUUUAGAAACUUUGGCUUCCAAUUCUGAACUCUUUGUUCUUCAUUUGUCUUGAAUCCAAUUCUUCACAUCAUCAUUCAAUCCUAUGCUCAUUUGAUCUUCAAUUUCAUCCAUCUUCUUACCUCCAAGCAGCAAUCCAUUUGAUGCCCAAAACUGCUCUAAAAGGCUCCAAAAUGCACAUGUUUGCAUACUUUGGCCUUAGAAUCUGAAAACACACAAAAGUGACUUUAAACACUAAAAUAACUAAAGAAACACAACGUAAAAGCACGAGAACAAGCCAAUUAAGUCGCAUAAAUAUGCUCCUAUCAUGGUCGGGUGAAUUUCGUCUCAACGUCACAAUAGAGCCUUCAGGACGAGCUUUGUUAUGAACAGAUUUCUUGUAAAAACCCAACAACCUAGAUAAAUGAACAAUUGUUAGUAUGUAGAAAUAAAAAAAAAAUAUGCAACUAACAGAAACAUCAUGGCCAUUUACCUUUCUACAGGAUACAUCCAUCGAUAUCCAACUGGUCCUGCCAAUUUUGCUUCGCAUGGUAAGUGACUGCUAAGUGAACCAUGGGAACGAAGAAUGCAGACAGGAAAUUUUUUUCUAGUUUGCACAAUAUGAGGACAAUGUCUUCUUCCAACUUGUCAAGAUCAGUAACAGUUAGAGUCUUUGCACAUAUUUGUUGAAAAAAAAACUAGAAAACUCAACAAUUGGACCAUAUAUAUGCUUUUUCAAAUAUUUUUGAAGCACACGUUGCAUCAACGCAUGACAAUCAUGUCUCUUUAAACCAAAUAUACUUCAUUCAUCCACAUUCACUUUAUAUGAUAUAUUUGCUGCAUAACCAUCUGGAAAUUUAAUUGAUUUCAACCAAUGCAAGAAAAUUUUACGUUCAUAUGGCUUAAAUACAUACUAAGCCAAAGGCUUUCCCAAUGUGUUACGUGCAUUUAGUUUCAAAUGCAAACUCUCUCUAAUAUUCAUGUCUUGUAAAUCUAUAUGUGCCUUAAGGGUAUCCUUCGACUUCCCCGUAUUCUGCAAUGUCCCAGUCAAACAGUCAAAUAUAUUCUUCUCAAUAUAUAUAACAUCAAGAUUAUGCCAAAAAUCUUCAAUUUGGACUAGUAUUCCAACUCGAAAAAAAUACUCUUCCUUGUCCAAUUUAAUUCUUCGGCAUUCCGCUUUCUCUUCUUAUCUUUAUUAGUACAAUGCUUACCAAGUGUAUGAGGUAAAAGGGAAUCAAGUUGAUCAAGUAUGUCAUCACCUAAGAAUUCUCUGGAACGAUGUCUCAUCUCUCGACGACCAUGAAGGAGUUAAGUAUUUUUGCGCCAUGAGUGUUUCAUAGGUAAGUAACGACGGUGCCCAAUAUGACAAUACUUGUCUCUCAACUUAGUGUAAGAUCCAUCCUCAUUGCACAUUGGACAUGCCAACUUGCCAUGAAUGCUCCAACCUGAUAAAUUUUCAUAAGUCGAGAAGUCGUUAAUAGUCCACAUAACAGCUGCACGCAAAUUAAAUGUACUCCCAGUUAUCAUAGGUUAAAACACCAUUUUCCCACAGUUCCUUAAGCUCAUCAACCAAUGGACGCAAAUAAAUGUUAAUCUCAUUUCCAGGUGCUUUUGGUCCAGGAAUUAAUAAGGUCAAAAAAGAAAAAGGUUUUUUCAUGCAUUUCCAUGGGGGAAAAUUAUAUGGAAAUACAAUAACUGGCCACAUACUAUAUGGCUUACUUAUAUCUGAAUAAGGAGUAAACCCGUCACUCAUAAGGCCCAAUCAGACAUUUCGUGGAUCUCAAGCAAAAUUAGGGUACAUUUGGUCAAAUUCUUUCCAAGCACUCGAGUCUGCUGGAUGCCUCAUUGUGUUCCCAUCAUUGAUUCUUUUCUCCUUGUGCCGCCUUAUGUCUUUGCUCGUAUGUCGAUAUGAAUAACCUCUGUAGCCUUGACUUAAGUGGGAAGAAUCGCAACACUUUUCUUGGAACUUUCUUCCUCUGCUCAUAAUGACUAUCCGUAUACCUUGGCUCAUUAUAGACUAGACAUCUAUCUUCGUUUUCAUGUUGUUUAUAAAAUAGUGCACAAUCAUAGUAGCAAUCAUAUAUAUUUUCACACCCCAAUCCAAGACUUUUCAAUAUUUUCUUGCACUCAUGAAAUGAGUUAGGAACAUUGAUAGGUUAGGGACACAUCUUCUUCAUCAUUGCUAACAUCUUAUCAAUUGCCUUGUUUGUCAUGUGGUUGUCAACUUUGGUGUGAAUCAACUCUAAGACGUAUGUCAAAACUAUAUAUUGCUUACAUUCAAGGUAUAGUUCCUUUUGAGCUUCACCAAGCAAUAUCUCAUAAGUAUCAACGUGUAUGUAUAUUUUAUAAAAUAGUGCACAAUCAUAGUAGCAAUCAUGUAUAUUUUCACACCCCAAUCCAAGACUUUUCAAUAUCUUCUUGCACUCACGAAAUGAGUCAAGAACAUUGAUAGGUUAGGGACACAUCUUCUUCAUCAUUGCUAACAUCUUAUCAAUUGCCUUGUUUGUCAUGUGGUUGUCAACUUUGGUGUGAAUCAACUCCAAGACGUAUGUCAAAACUGUAUAAUGCUUACAUUCAAGGUAUAGUUCCUUUUGAGCUUCACCAAGCAACAUCUAUGUAUAUUUUAUAAAAUAGUGCACAAUCAUAGUAGCAAUCAUGUAUAUUUUCACACCCCAAUCCAAGACUUUUCAAUAUCUUCUUGCACUCACGAAAUGAGUCAGGAACAUUGAUAGGUUAGGGACACAUCUUCUUCAUCAUUGCUAACAUCUUAUCAAUUGCCUUGUUUGUCAUGUGGUUGUCAACUUUGGUGUGAAUCAACUCCAAGACGUAUGUCAAAACUGUAUAUUGCUUACAUUCAAGGUAUAGUUCCUUUUGAGCUUCACCAAGCAACAUCUCAUAAGUAUCAACAUCUAUUCACACAUUGGUCAUAUCACCAUCCCAUAUUUUUUUCAUGUAAACUGUGUCUUCGUACCCGAAUGCUCUAACUUUGAUGCUUAUGUAUGUUUUAUUUCCCAUAGCACCAAUCACAAUCUUGAUCCCUCCAUUCGAUUUCACUAGUUUGGAUGUUUUUCACAUAAACUACUUAUAUAGGUACAAGAUGUGAAGCUCCACAUGACUAUCAAGAAGUUGAGAAACCAUUGAAGCCAACAAUGGUUGGAAGAGCUAAAUAAGCCUCCACAAUGAUUUUCAUUCGAAAACACAUGCCCGAAGCAUUACAAACGGAAGUAUACGUCACUAAAAAAGGAUUAUAUGGCUCCUUAGCUCGCUCUACGGACUAUUUAAUCAUGACGUUGCCUAAAGCAAACUGUGAUUAAAACCUUUAUGUCCAAGAAUGUGUACGAUUUUGAAGCUUAUAAAAUCCAAUCAAAUUUUGAUUGGAGAAGAUUUUUCUUGUCCUUCCAUGUCUCUAACUCGUUCCUAAAGCAACUUUGUAGAAAGCGAAAGUUUACGAAAUCCUCGAAUCUAAUUACUACCAUAAAUGUGAGAGAAAGGUACCCAAGUGAUUCGACUGGUAGGUAUUGAACAAUAUAGGCUCAGUUUGGCUAAAGUCUAUAGAAUGUCCUAACCCAUUUUUGGUUAGAGCCUACCGAACGGCAAUGCCCUACUUCAACAUGGAUGUAUGAACAGAUUCACAUAGUUCGGCUCAAAUCUUUCAAACCUAAGUUUGUCUCUCUCUCACCCAUUCUAUAGUUUGUUUUACAACAUAUGGUAGAAUCAAGGCCCGCCAAGGGGUGGCAUCAUGGCCAGAAGUGUGCUCCUUGGCACGUACGACCUAAAACUUCAAGAAUAUGGAAUAGUAUUCCCAAACCUCGACCCUGCAGAAUCUACUUAUGUUUUGAUCAAAGAAAUUAUUGGUUACGCACUAAUCUGUGCCUCUACCAAUGUCGUUAAGGAGUACCAUUCUCGUAAUCAAUCUGUGAGACUAAUUUUGCUCCACCUAAGACAUUUGGAAGAGAAGAAUUUUAACAGGGAUGGCCUAUUUGGCCGAAUCCCCUUUGUAAACAAUUUCCUAUGUUCCCGGAUUCAAGUUGGUAUUUGUUUUAUUUCUAGAUAAUCUUAUGGAUAUUGUCUUCGAAUAUGAGUUAAUUGAAUCAUGCUUCUAUACAUGUUACCAAAUUCAAUUAAACAUGUGAUUAGGUACGAACGUUGAAAACUUAGUUGUCUGGAUGAAUAUGUUGUUAUGCACACCAACUUUAUACCUAAAUUACCUUUCUAGAAAUGACUUCAGGUCUAUCCAACCCGAUUAAGAGCAUUGGCACGCUUUUUGUUGUAUGAAUGGUACAGAAUUACCAAUUUAAGAGACCUUAUAUUCUUUCCUUUCCAGAAGAACGUCAUUAAGUCUUAAGGAUAUUCAAGAUGACGAUGAUUAUGAUUGAAACCAUUAAAGGAAAUAAUAGGGCUAAUGAGCUGUCUCCCAACUGAGACAUGCCACAUGUGACAUGCCUGGAACUGGGUGAUUCAAGCAGUUUACUUAUUUUGGCAUGACCGUUUAGGACACUUAGGUCAAACAAUGAUGCCAUGUAUUAUACAACGCAUCUCCUUACCCAAAGUAAGGAUCUCCUAUAAACACACUUUGCCAAGCCUGCUCGUUGGAUAAAUUGGAUUUUUGUACCAUCCCUAACAAAGAUACGAAAAUGACCCUUUUUUCAUAGUGGAUUCAAAGGAAUAAUUGUGAACUAGUCCAACCAAAAUGUAGACCAUACAAAUACUUAUUGUUUUGGUUGAUGGUAUCAAAAAUAUGAUCAUAUGUUUGUCCAUACACAUAUUGCUCCUAAACCUCCUGGCCGAUUUUUACCCAAGGGUUCACCACCCUGAUUUUCCCAUGAAGUCUGGAAAAUUGGAUAAUGCCCGAGUGUUAUCAAAUGUUUUCGAUAAGUAUUGCAUGUCUUUUAGGUUUGUAAUUGACAAUCGAAUUCCCCAUGUUCACCACAAAGCAAGCUCGCAGAGCGAUCGUAAAGUGCAAUUAAAAUGAUCACCCGGACCUUGUUAAACGCACCAAGCUUUCAUUUUCAUCCUAGGGUUAUGUAAUCUUAUAUGCAACUAUGUUGGUCUACUUUGAGGCCCAUUUCCACCCAACCAUAUAUGUCGUUACAAUUAGUUACUAGGUAAGAGCCUAACACUUCGUGCUUAGGUAUUUGGGUGUGCAUUUUAUGUGCCAAGUUGUGCCACCAUAACGUACCAAUAUGGGCCCUUAAAGAAGGUUGUAAAUCUUUUGUCAAUUAUGAUUCUUCUUCGAACUAACUCUUUGGAGCCCUUGCAAGUGAUAUUUUCACAGCUUAUUUUGUGGAUUGUCACUUCAAUGAAACAAUCUUCUCACUAUUAAUGGGAGAUAAAAACGUCAACGUUCCUAAAGAACAACGCUAAUUUACGUGGAUGUUACCCACUAUAUCUCAUCUUGAUCCCUGUACAGCACAAGCAUGAUAAGCAAGUACGAUAUAUUCUAGCUUUUAGAAUGUUGCUCCAGACUCAUUCCUCUAGUCUAGCUAAAGUGACACAAUUAUAUACCAGCUGCAAUCAUGCCUGCAAGGAUAGACAUACCUAACAACGUCGAGUUAGCAUCCCUAAACGGUGCAUCGUCCCUGUUGGACUGUCAGUACAUCAGCAGAUAGCCAAUCAAUUUGUCUUAACCUGAAGCGCAACAUAUCACUCUAUUCAUAGGAUUCACUUCCUUAAAAGAGGAAGGUUGAGACACAAAAUGAUUCCAUAUUCAAUCGCCAUCAAUCAUUUUCAUCUCAUGAGAUUAAUCCGAAUUACUCUUGAAACUUGAAGUUCUUCGUCCAGUAUACUAGUUUAGAUGAGAUAUAGAAUUGGAAUGAGAUUAUCAUUGAUGAUGUUUUCACUUAUAUGGUAGCUACCAAUAUAAAUGAAAAUGAUGAUAUUGGACCGUCUUCUGUUGAUUAAUGACCACAAUCCAGGUUUAAUUCCUUACCAAAGUGUGUUUGGUCAUGUCAUUCCUGAAGGAAAUUAUUUGAAAAAACUAAGUUCAUUAAGCAAUACAAUGCAUGUAUUUAACAAUUAAAUGGCGGAAACAUGCUUGUAUGAGCUUUUAAACAAAACUUAAACCAUGAACUUCAAAGUUAGUAGUGGUGGUGAACCAAGACUCAACUCAAAACAAAAUGAGUUGAGAAACUUUUGUACCUUUGAAGCACCUCUUUCCUUAGCAAAGGAUAUUCACCCACGUGAGUGUCUUCUUUCUUUUUGAAGGAAAAAUUUUGUCCUAGCUAAGAACAAGUAUGAACAUUUGAAUACACAUGCAAGCUAUUAACACUUUAAAGUAGGCAUGCAUCCAAAAACAAUUCAUAAAACCCAUGACUUUCAAAGCCUAGUAUAUGGUGAACCAAAAUAAACUCUUUAACAACAUUAAAGAGAAGUAAAGAUUUAGUGAUUCUUUACCCUUGAAGCUCAUCCUUGUUUACACAAGGGAUUCACCCAAGUGGAGGGCCUUCAAGUCACCUCCAAGCUCCUUGAAUCCUCCUUGUGUUUUCCUCCCUUUAGUGCUCCUUUGAUGAUUAGAGGAAAAAGGAUUUGUUCUACAAAAACAUCAAAAGCUUGAUGUCUCUAAGUCUCUUCACCAAGGUUGUAUAUUGUGAAGAUGAAUUGGAUGACUUAGAGAGAUUUUAGAUGCUAGUAAAAAUCCUCUAAGUGGCCGGCCUCUAUGUAGAAAAUGAGAGAAAAUGUUUCACCCAAUUUCUAUUAGAAAACCCUAAUGAGAAACAAAGCUAUAAAGAUGACUUUAUACUUCAUCUCUUAGGUUAGUGGCAAACUUGCAAUUAAACAAAAAUUCCCACUACCCUUGCUAUGGCCGGCCUCCUUUUUGUUAUUGGGCUAAAUACCCAUAUUUGUUUUAGUUGUCAUACAACUUAAACAUAAUGGGCCUAGUGGACCAAAACAAUUUUGGACCCCCGAAGCCCAAACUAACUUAAAAAGCCCAAUACGAACCUUUCGUAUAAUUAAUUAACUAAUUAAUUAACUUUGACCAUUCUUCAAUUAAACCAUUUAAUUGCUUAUCCAUUUCAUAUAAUUUCUUCACUAACAUCCUUAUGUGGUGUGCGAUCCAUUAGGUUCCAAUUAGCGAGGCAGUGGGCGAUGUUACUCUUAACGAUCGAUUGUGAAUUGAAACCACAUUUCAAUUCUCCCUUAAGAUUAGUGUUUGCUAAUCUUCAAGGCUUCCACAAACCAUGAGUGACACCUAGCAGCAUAUCAUGGUUACCCAAGCUAAGUAGAAUUGGUUGGAGAACCUAUCCAGUUACAACUACAAUGCAAUACGGUCCUUCUCUAAUACAAUAUUCUUAAUCACAUUGUUUAAGUGAUAGUUUGUUUCAUGUCUACUAUCCAAUGUGAUACUUUCCUAUAUGAUUCCCUUGAAUAUGAUUUGGAACAAACUUCCUAAGUCAUAUUCAUUUGCUUUGGCCAAAGACUUUAGAAUCAUAUCUUAGAGUAUUCUCCUUCCACCAUGGAAGGUUAAAGAUCCCUUGUUGUGCAUUCAUAUGCCUACAUGGCUAGGUAGCUUGACCCCAAUAAUGCCGUGGACAAUCCGAAGGAAUGCCGUUGACAUGAUCAAAGAUCAAGGACCUAACCAUUAGACAUCUAUGAUGCCUCAGGUCAAAGGACUACUUUGCAUAUUGCAACUUUAGAGUUCAUACAUGACAUGUAUGUUCGAACUCUCUUUUGAUCGACGUUCAGUGUACUCGAUUACCUUUUCGAGCACCUAUGUGUUUGUCUCAGUGUCCAACACCAAAUGACUUGAGACUAGUUCAUACUCACGUUUGAGUCAACAUAACACAUACUAACCUUAGCGGAUUGUCAAUGCCCAAUUGGCAAUCCUAUGGCUAGGAACGUUUUAGGAAUAAACAUAAGAGAAAGGUCUCGAUAAUCUAACUCACUUAGAUCACUUGUCUCUUAGAUCAAAUACAUUCCUUGGAUUCCCUUAUUGCUUAAACACAUGAUACAAUAAAUAGUGAUUAACAAUAAGCUUUGCCCUUCAUUAAACAUAUAAAAGUUUAAUACAAUAAGUAUUCCAAAAGCUAUUACAUCAAAUGAGUGGCUUUGUGGGCAUACUUCCAACAAUCUCCCACUUGCACUCAAAGCCAUCUUCCCAUGUAUCUAAUACCCAUUUUAUCCAUAUGACGAUCAAGCUGGAUUUGAGACAUUGGCUUUGUCAGUGGAUCUGCUACGUUAUCGGCUGAGGCAACUUUGAGGAUGUUGACUUUCCCCUCGGCAGCAUAUCUUCUAAUGAUAUUAAAGCGUCUGUCAAAAUGCUUGUUCUUUUGAUGUGCCCUGGGUUCCUUGGCUUGAGCUAUCGCCCCACUAUUAUCACAGUACAAAGUUACUGGUGAUGUAAUGGUUGGAACCACUCCAAGUUCAGUAAUGAACUUCUUCAUCCAUAACGCUUCUUUGCCGGCUUCAGCUGUAGCGACAUAUUCAGCCUCUGUCGUGGAAUCAGCAAUUACACUUUGCUUCUUGCUUUUCCAACUGACAGCCCCACCAUUCAGAGUGAAUACAUAUCCGGAGUUGGAACUUCUAUCAUCGACGUCAGAUUGGAAAUCUGCGUCUGUAUAGCCUUCCACUCGCAACUCUGUCGCUCCUCCAUAUACGAGGAACAUGUCCUUAGUUCUUCUUAAGUACUUAAGGACCGUCUUGACAGCUGCCCAGUGUUCUAAUCCUGGGUUAGAUUGAUAUCGACUAGUAAUGCUCACAGCAUAUGCGAUAUCUGGCCUUGUGCAUAUCAUGGCAUACAUGAGACUUCCUAUGGCGGAAGCAUAAGGAAUCCUUCUCAUAUGCCCUAUCUCUUCAGGAGUCUUAGGUUCCAUGGACUUAGAAAGGUGAAUUCCAUGUCUUACAGGAAGAAAGCCUUUCUUAGAUUGUUCCAUCUCGAACCUACUUAGCACCUUAUCAAUGUACAUUGAUUGGGAUAAUCCAAUUAAUUUUCUGGAUCUAUCACGAUAGAGCUUUAUCCCAAGUACAUAAGAUGCAUCUCCUAAAUCUUUCAUGUGGAAGGUUUUGGACAACCACACUUUUACAGAAGAAAGUAUUGCAGUGUCAUUCCCGAAUAGUAAUAUGUCAUCUACAUAUAACACUAGGAACACAACUGCAUCCCCAACGACUUUUUGAUAAACACAAUUGUCGUCUUCGUUUUGAGUAAAACCAAACGUUUUGAUUUCAGUAUCGAAACGAAUGUUCCAGCUCCUGGAGGCUUGUUUAAGUCCAUAAAUGGAUCUUUGAAGCUUGCAUACCUUAGUCUUUUCAGACUUGGACACGAAACCUUCGGGUUGAGUCAUAUAGAGCUCUUCCUCUAGGUAGCCGUUCAGAAGGCCGUCUUCACGUCCAUUUGCCAGAUCUCAUAAUCAUGGUACGCAGCUAUCGCAAGCAAAAUCCGAAUGGACUUAAUCAUGGCUACAGGAGAGAAGGUUUCUUCAUAGUCAAUCCCUUCUCUUUGCCUGUAACCCUUGGCUACUAGUCUAGCCUUAUAAGUCUCCACGUUCCCAUCAACGCCUAUCUUCCUCUUGAAGACCCAUUUGUUUCCAACAGGUACAAUACCUUCUGGAGGGUCUACAAGAGUCCAGACCUGAUUUUGAUACAUGGAAUCCAUCUCGGAUUUCAUGGCCUCUUGCCAUCUCUUUGAAUCAAUGUCGGACAUUGCUUCAGUGUAGUCUCUAGGGUCCUCCUUUGUUUCAUUGUCACCUAGAAGGUACAAUUCAUCAAAGUCAUUGUCUAAGCCAUACCUCUUAGGUGGCUUACUAACCCGUUCAGAUCUACGUGGAGCUAGGGGUUCAGGAACAGGGUUGUCAAUAUGUCUAGUGCUUGUUUGUGGUUCAUUAUUAAUCUCAUUAAUUUCCAUCUGUUUGCUUAUAGUCCCUUUGAGAACGAAUUCGUCCUCUAGAAACUUAGCAGUUCUGGCGACAAAGACUUUCUGGUCGUCAGGAUGGUAGAACUCAUAUCCCAUAGUUUCUUUAGGAUAUCCCACAAAAUAGCAUCUUACUGAUCUCGCUUCAAGCUUAGUAGCUUCAAGCUUCUUGACAUAUGCUUCACAACCCCAAAUCUUAAUGUGUUUAAGACUUGGCUUUCUUCCAUGCCAUAUCUCAUAGGGCGUUUGUGAAACUGAUUUGGAAGGUACUCUAUUGAGCAAGUAAGCUGCUGUAUAUAGAGCGUAUCCCCAGAAUGUUACUGGUAGAUCAGCAGAACUCAUCAUAGAACGAACCAUGUUCAUCAAGGUUCGAUUUCUCCUUUCAGAAACUCCAUUGAGUUGUGGAGUUCCUGGAGGAGUCCACUGUGAUAUUAUUCCACACUCUUUGAGAUAAUCUAGGAACUCAUUACUCAGAUAUUCACCCCCUCGAUCUGAUCUUAGGGUCUUUAUAUGUUUCCCAGUUUGCUUCUCAACUUCAUUCUUGAAUUCUUUGAACUUUUCAAAGGAUUCUGACUUGUACUUCAUAAGAUACACAUAGCCAAACCGAGAGUGAUCGUCGGUGAAUGUGCUAUAGUAGGAGAAGCCUCCUCUCGACGUAGUAGACAUAGGCCCACAUACGUCAGUGUGGAUUAACCCUAGAAUUUCAGUGGCACGCUCUCCUUUUCCAGUAAAUGGAGAUUUGGUCAUUUUCCCUUUCAAGCAACAUUCACAAGUACCCAUCCGGUCAUUACCUAAUGGGCGGAAAUAUCCGUCUUUCGACAUCUUGCGAAUCUUAUCAAGGUUCACAUGUCCAAGUUUAAGAUGCCACGUCUUUUCUUGGUUAACAACUUCUCUAGCCCUUUUGGGUUUUGAGGUAUUCCCGCUUUCAAUACAGUGCAACCCAUUAUUCGUCUCUAGGUGAAAAAGUCCCUCUAUCAUAUUACCAUGAGAGAUAAUACGACCGUUCAAGUAUAAAGUGCAACUCAUUUUGUCAAACAAUACUGAGUGCCCAUCUCGUAAAAGCUUAGAGAUGGAAAUCAAAUUCUUUAUACAUGAAGGAAAAUAUAAACAAUUUUUAAGUUCCAGGACUUCCCCAGAGGGUAGGUUAAGCAUGUAGGUGCCUAUUGCUUUUGCUGAGAUUUUAGUGCCGUUCCCAACUCGCACAAUCAUCUCCCCAUUGCUCAGUGACUUGCUCCCUACUAGUCCCUGCAUCGUAUUACAGAUAUGUUGACUAGCGCCUGAAUCAAAUAUCCAGGAAUUGGAGCUCACUGUAAAAGAACUCUCUAUGACAGAAAUAGUCUCUUCAAAAGUUCGUGUCAUAAGGCUCGCAAUGCUUACCCUGUAUUUCUUCUUCCAACGUUCAUCCUUUCCACAAUGAAAGCAUGUUCCUUUGGAUUUCUUUGCCUUCUUCUUAUGCAACCUUUUCCUUAUGUUUGCAUUCUCACUCCCACUGUCCAUUUGAAACCUUUUUCAAAUGUACAGCACAUGUCAAUCAUCUCUUUCAAAGAAUGAUCGAAUCUAUUCACUUUAUAGUUUACAAUAAACUUAGUGAAAUCAUCCGAGAGAGAUGCAAGGAAAAAGUCUUGGGCCAUUUUCCCAUCGAUGGAAGUUCCUAAACUUUUAAGAUUUUUAAAUAUCUUUUCCAUCUUUUGUCCAUGUUCAUGGACCGAUGUCCCCUUUGCCAUCUUGGCAUUCAUUAGACUACAAACAUUUGAGAAUCGUACAUUACUAGUCUCAAUGUCAUGCAUCUUAUGCAAACUUUCAACCAUGGCACAAGAAGUGUCCAUGUGCUUAUGUAGCUUCAUAAGCUCCUCACUAAGUGAAGUGAGGAUUAAACAUUUGGCUUGUAAGUCAUCCUCAUAGUGUCUAACAUAAUUUUGACACUCCUCCUUUGAAGCUAAUUUCGUAGGAGGUACAUGAGGAGGGGAUUGCUUAAGCACAUACAAUAUGUCUUUCACCUUUGAGACAUUCUCAAUGUGGCGAUACCAAGCAAGGAAACGUUGGCCCUUAAGGCCCCUUUUGUCAAGUAUAAUGGUGGGUAUAAUUUUAGGCAUGUCGUUCACUACAUAACAUAACAGAAAUCGUAUUAGAUUGUUUGUUUAAAACUAUUUGAUUGGGUCUUUGAAUCAAAUAGUACCACCCACUAUUUUUGGCAAAUUCCACAUCCCUCAAUAGAAUUCGAGAGUUAUUUUGAACUCUUAGCGGGUUAUGGGAGACUCACCAUUACCAAGCCCACCUCACGAUGAUACGAUAUUGGUUAGCAAAAAUAAUGAUGAGAGAAUAACGCAUUAUUCAUUUACAACUUUUGUAAUUACCCAUCCGUUUGGCCUCUAGAGAAUGUUGCCUCACGAUGAUACGAUAUCGGCACCAUUGCACUUAGUUUAAGUUAUUCCCACCAUGCUUAGUGUGUGAAGGGGUUCAAGAAUAGCCUCACGAUGAUACGAUGUCGGCUACCCUCGUUGCCUACACUCACCUCAUCAUAUGUUUAUGGACUCCUCCUGGAUGUAAGCACAUACUGUGUACUCCCCCAUGAUAGGGUGAAGCCGGUGUAUGAGUCACAAACGCUUGGAGUCCACCACGGUGGAAGGCCUACGAAGAGAUAUUCUAAACAUCUCUCGCUUAUCAACUUAAAUCUUCAUUUUGAGGGAGUUGUUUUGGGCUACAUCAAAACAUUUUAAUCACAUUAAAAGAACUUGGGCCUAUCACAACUAUUGGUCCAAGUCAAUAUGAAUUAGUAGCAUAUAAUACUCCCACUGUUUCGUUGAAACAAGCGAGACUAUAUGGAACUACUAACGAAUGCAUUGCAUCCUCAUAUGGACUAUAUAGUCAUAUUAGGUUUUAGGAUGAUUAUGAACCGUUUGAUUUGAUCCAACACGAGCCUUGUGUUGGACCUUGGGUUUAAGGUAGAUAGUUGUUGAUUUUAGUUACGCGUUUAAUCCAAUUAAACCGUUAUUUCCUAUUGGGCGUUGGACCCAACUAUUCCAUUUUGCAUACAUAUAAACAAAAAGGAAUACAUGAAAUAAUAAUAAGGGCUUAUGCCCUUUUACAACAUAAAUCAAAUGAUGGACUUAUGUCCAUUUACAACAAAUUGAAUUAAUCAAAUUACAUUCAAAUCUACACUACCAAACCCAAACAUUCAUAAUGUAUAUCGGCCAAUCACAUAGCUCAAUUAUCGUGGCCUUUGGUUCAUAAUCACCCUUUUCUUAAUCAAUCACAUUAACUAAGAAAACAUCUUUAAACAAUUGGUUUUUGGAUCCAUAGAAUUGAUUUAAAUGGAACUAAAUAGAAUGAAAAUCCAAUUCUCAUUAAAGAGACAAAACAAUUUUGUUCUCAUUUUAUUUGGGCCAAAAGGAAACUAUGACCACAACAAUUGGGCCAUAAUGCAAAUACAAAAACUUUUGGGGUCACUUUGUAUAAACAUAACUUCAUGUAAAUACAACUAGAUCCCAAAAUUUUAAUAAUGUAAAAACAUCAUUAAAGGAUCAAAACAAUUUGUCCUUUAGAGUUUUAGGGUCUUAACGUAAAAACGUAAACUUUUGGGCCAAAAUGCAAAUACACAAAAGUAUCUAAAACUUUAUGUAAUUGCACAAAAGGCCCUAAAAGCACCCCCACUAGGGGUGGCCGGCCAUUUGGAGUGAACAAGUGAAAAUUUUGAAAUUUUUGAAAAAGUUUUUGCAAGUUGAUUAAAGUACUUAAGCAAGUGGAAUGGUUGGUGAAGAAAGUCUUUGCAAUCUUUAAAGACUUGUAAGAAAUGUAAGAAAAUGUUUUGUAAACAUUAAUGACAUUUUCCUUUCUUCACCCUUAAGUUAUAAUACAAAAUUAAUAAACCAAAACUUUAUGAAAAACAUAAAACUUUUGAAUCAAAACUUCAAAACUUUUUGUUCUUGGCAAGAACUUCAAGAACAUGAAGAACAAACAUGAAAAACUCAUAAUAGCUCCAUGGAUGUUUUCAUUCACCAAAACUCAAUUUUUCACCUCUCAAAAGAGGGCUAAUAUCCUAGGGUACUUAGGGGUUCCAAAAGUCAUCUUAAAACCAUUUUAACAAGACAAACAUGAACCCAAAAAGUCACCCUAAGGAUUUGGCCGAAUUUCCCAAAACUCAUGGCACCAAAUUUUAGUUCCAAUAUUCAUGCUUAAAUGAAAUACAUCUACAACAUUUGAGAUGCUAAAUUUUCUAGCAAAAUUUAUAUAUUCAAAAGCAAGAAGAACAAAGCUUGUAAACAUUUACAACAUUUAAAUCACAAAAUAUGAACAUCACAAAACCCAAAAGGAUUCACCAUACACUAGGCCUAGGCUCUGAUACCACUUGAAGGAAAAAUUUUGUCCUAGCUAAGAACAAGUAUGAACAUUUGAAUACACACAUGCAAGCUAUUAACACUUUAAAGUAGGCAUGCAUCCAAAAACAAUUCAUAAAACCCAUGACUUUCAAAGCCUAGUAUAUGGUGAACCAAAAUAAACUCUUUAACAACAUUAAAGAGAAGUAAAGAUUUAGUGAUUCUUUACCCUUGAAGCUCAUCCUUGUUUACACAAGGGAUUCACCCAAGUGGAGGGUCUUCAAGUCACCUCCAAGCUCCUUGAAUCCUCCUUGUGUUUUCCUCCCUUUAGUGCUCCUUUGAUGAUUAGAGGAAAAAGGAUUUGUUCUCCAAAAACAUCAAAAGCUUGAUGUCUCUAAGUCUCUUCACCAAGGUUGUAUAUUGUGAAGAUGAAUUGGAUGACUUAGAGAGAUUUUAGAUGCUAGUAAAAAUCCUCUAAGUGGCUGGCCUCUAUGUAGAAAAUGAGAGAAAAUGUUUCACCCAAUUUCUAUUAGAAAACCCUAAUGAGAAACAAAGCUAUAAAGAUGACUUUAUACUUCAUCUCUUAGGUUAGUGGCAAACUUGCAAUUAAACAAAAAUUCCCACUACCCUUGCUAUGGCCGGCCUCCUUUUUGUUAUUGGGCUAAAUACCCAUAUUUGUUUUAGUUGUCAUACAACUUAAACAUAAUGGGCCUAGUGGACCAAAACAAUUUUGGACCCCGAAGCCCAAACUAACUUAAAAGCCCAAUACGAACCUUUCGUAUAAUUAAUUAACUAAUUAAUUAACUUUGACACUUCUUCAAUUAAACCAUUUAAUUGCUUAUCCAUUUCAUAUAAUUUCUUCACUAACAUCCUUAUGUGGUGUGCGAUCCAUUAGGUUCCAAUUAGCGAGGCAGUGGGCGAUGUUACUCUUAACGAUCGAUUGUGAAUUGAAACCACAUUUCAGUUCUCCCUUAAGAUUAGUGUUUGCUAAUCUUCAGGGCUUCCACAAACCAUGAGUGACACCUAGCAGCAUAUCAUGGUUACCCAAGCUAAGUAGAAUUGGUUGGAGAACCUAUCCAGUUACAACUACAAUGCAAUACGGUCAUUCUCUAAUACAAUACUCUUAAUCACAUUGUUUAAGUGAUAGUUUGUUUCAUGUCUACUAUCCAAUGUGAUACUUUCCUAUAUGAUUCCCUUGAAUAUGAUUUGGAACAAACUUCCUAAGUCAUAUUCAUUUGCUUUGGCCAAAGACUUUAGAAUCAUAUCUUAGAGUAUUCUCCUUCCACCAUGGAAGGUUAGAGAUCCCUUGUUGUGCAUUCAUAUGCCUACAUGGCUAGGUAGCUUGACCCCAAUAAUGCCGUGGACAAUCCGAAGGAAUGCUGUUGACAUGAUCAAAGAUCAAGGACCUAACCAUUAGACAUCUAUGAUGCCUCAGGUCAAAUGACUACUUUUCAUAUUGCAACUUUAGAGUUCAUACAUGACAUGUAUGUUCGAACUCUCUUUUGAUCGACGUUCAGUGUACUCGAUUACCUUUUCGAGCACCUAUGUGUUUGUCUCAGUGUCCAACACCAAAUGACUUGAGACUAGUUCAUACUCACGUUUGAGUCAACAUAACACAUACUAACCUUAGCGGAUUGUCAAUGCCCAAUUGGCAAUCCUAUGGCUAGGAACGUUUUAGGAAUGAACAUAAGAGAAAGGUCUCGAUAAUCUAGCUCACUUAGAUCACUUGUCUCUUAGAUCAAAUACAUUCCUUGGAUUCCCUUAUUGCUUAAACACAUGAUACAAUAAAUAGUGAUUAACAAUAAGCUUUGCCCUUCAUUAAACAUAUAAAAGUUUAAUACAAUAAGUAUUCCAAAAGCUAUUACAUCAAAUGAGUGGCUUUGUGGGCAUACUUCCAACACUUUUGUCUCCUUGAUCCUUGGCUCCAUGGAUGUAGAUGGAGGAACUUGGCAUCUUAGCUCCAUAUCUUUUUGGAUUUGGAUGGAGGAAUGGAUUCUCCAAAAGACUUCAAAGUUGGAGGUCUCUAAGUUUCGACACCAAGGAUGGUUGAGGAAGAAGAUGAGUGACCAUGGAAGAACAAAAUGCUAGCAAAGUUCUCCCAUGGUGGCCGACCUCUUUGUAUUUGGAAAGACUUCAUAAAUCUCAUUCAUACUCAGGCCAGAGAUUCUUAAUCAUAUCAUAAGGUAUUCUCUUUCAACGGUUUGAAGGUUAGAGAUCCCUUAUUGCACAUUCACAUGUCCCUAUGAUUAACUAGCUUAGCCCCAACUAAGCCAUGGACACUUUAAUGGAAUGCCUUUAACACAAUCAAAGACUAAGAACCUAACCACAAAACAACCGUGAUAUCUCGGGUCAAAGGACUAUUUUGCAUUAUUCCAACUAUGAGUUCUCAUGUGACAUGAUUAUGAGAACUCCUUGUUGAUCGCAUUCAAUAAACUCAUUCUCUAUUGAGCACUUACAUACUUGCCUUGGCAUCAAUCACACUAAUGACUCAAGAUCAGUCACUCUCCCGAAGAGAAGUCAUAACAUGUAUUGAUCUUAAUAGAUCGUCAAUGCCCAAUUGUCACAUCCCGGCCCGGGGUCCACCACAUCCUGGGCCCGUUCCACCAUCGUAGCACGAUAUUGUCCGCUUUGGACCCCAACUACGCCCUUACGGUUUUGUUUCUAGGAACUCAUACGAGAACUUCCUAGUAGGUCACCCAUCAUAGGAUUGCUCUAGUGCGUUACUCGCUUAACUUCGGAGUUCCAAUGGAACCCGAAGCCAGUGAGCUCCCAAAAUGCCUCAUGCUAGGUAGGGAUGAAUACACAUAUAAGGAUCACUCCCAUGAGCGAUGUGGGAUCUUACACUAAUUGGCAAUCCUAUUAUCAGGAACGUUUAUGAUAUGUGUACGAAAGAGAAUGGUCUCAUGAAUCUAACUUACUUAGAUCACAUUCUCCUAGUUACAUAUUUUUUGGAAUUAUUAUUUAAGUGUAUACAUUUAAUGAGACAGCUUUAAACAAUAAUCGUUACUCUUACAUUAAACUAUUUAAUUUGACAUGUGAAAUGUCUGUAAAGUAUCAUCUUAUGAUUGGGUUUAUGGCACAUUUCGGACAGUUCCUACACUACCGAAGGUAACCCUGUCAUUUUACAAGUUAGAAAGGAAGCAUAAUGAGAUGAAUGAAAUAGUGUGAUGUAAUGCAUGCCUUAUGGUGCAAGGCUUCUCUCAAACGCCUUGUGAUUGAUUACGUUAUUAUGAAUGUGGUUAGUGUUUCUCCACGGGGAUAUUGACACAGAGAUUUACAUGUAAGUUUUUGAAAAAUUACAUGGACUAGUUUGAAAAGUUCCAAACCACAAAACACCCUCUCAACUCAUUUGAGGCAUUCACUUUAUGGAUUGAAGCAAUCCCCGGCUAAGUUAUUAUUUGAUCAGUAAGGGAUAUGAAAUUAUGCCCUUACGUGUUAACUUAAGAAGUUAUAUUUCGAAUUGCUAAAGUUGCAGUUUAUAUCAAUGACAUGAAUCUUACUAAGGCUCCAGAAGAGUUUGAGAAAACUGCCUCACACUUGAAGACAUAAUUUGAGAUGAAAGAUCUUGGAAAACUCGUUUAUAUCUUGACUUGGAGUUCAAAGCGCUGAUCUGACAAUAUUUUGGUCUACCAGUCGAACUACACCCAAAGGUGUUACCUUUGAGUAUACCUAUGGUCAUCCAUACGCUAUAUGCAAAUAACACCCUUGAAAAGGUUAUAGAAUCUAAAGUUCCAUAUCUGAGUUGAACUUUCCGCUUUUGUUUUACUUAACUCAUUGCAUUAGACAUGACAUCUCUUUUACUGUUGAUCUAUUGGUAAAGAUGCAGCACUGCGCCUACACGUACCCACUGAAUUGGUAUUAAAGAUGUUUUCCGCUACCCUGAAGAUACUACGGAUUUCAGCUAAUCUCUAUGCAUCCAGAGCGGAUCCAACCCCUAUAAUCCUCGGAAUGAUGUUUUUCUUGAUACUAUGCCGCAUGUAUCAAUUAGACGAAGGCAUGAUACAUCAACGCCAAGACAUAUUGUGUCUACAUCACAUCAACAAAGAAUUAGGAGAUUGAAGUCAAGCAAUCUGAUCCCAGACAACCUUGCCAACCUCUUCACGACGCCACUACCGAAGUCUACCUUCUAGAAGCCUGUUUGAGAAUUGGUAUGUGUCACUAUCUCAUAUGAAAUGCUUGUAGUUCUCAUUUGGAAGUUUUGUUAAACUCAUGGGGCAUCCAGAAGUAUACUCACUCGAUCGUAAUGUAAUCUUUUUCCCUACGCUUAGGAGCAUUUUUCCUACUAGAUUUUUGCUACCUAACUAGGUUUUAAUGAGGCACCCAUCCUGGAUUGGCCAUACACUUAUGAGUUUGCUAUUUGCGUCCAAAAGACGUAUAGUUUUGACUUAAUGCAACUUCUCACGUUGCUCCUUAGUCUAUCAGUUUUUAUCCCACCUUGGGCUUUAUCAUAGUGAGGUUUUGUGUGUUUGACCUUUUUAUGCAUUCUUCCGUUGAUUUGAGACUCGCAUUCGCUCAUUGUGCCAACAACUUCAUUAAUUGUAUUUACUUUAUUGUUGAAGACCUGAUGCGUUAUUUACUUGAAUAUUUACACACUAAAGAAGAAGUGUUGCAAUCUAAUUAGGUUAAGAAUGUGAUUAUAUUUACAUACUCAACGACUUCAUCAAUUGUAUUUACUUCAUAUCAAAAUAUUUACUAUGCAUACUUUUCUCAAAUAUGAAUUACCCCGUAGAUUAAUAAACUAAAAAAUUGUAACUUACGCGUAGCACACCAUGAUUAAGAAAAACCUCUCGUCGUGCACGAAAAAGCGCAUGCAAAAAGGUUAAUUCUAAAAAUACUUUUUAAAUUAUCUAAAUUGCAUAUUACUAGAACGCUCUUUGUCAAUCGAAAUAGGAUGAAAAUACUAUUUAGUCUUCUAUGACAACAAAAAAUUUAAGAGCAGUAACGUAAUUUCACAAAACAAAAUUUUAUUAUUUUUUAUUUCAAUCUCACCCAUGGUCUAAAAUAUCCAUAAUAUCUCGAUAUUUCCAUUGAAAUUUCCGUGUUUUUGGACUAUCGAUAUUUUUUUGAACUACCGAUAUUUCCGAUAUCAUCGAUAUUUUAGACCUUGCUAAGUCACUCAUGUAUUUUACCAUGCAAUGUAUAAAGUGUAAAAUAUUGUACUAAUUCAUUAUAUAUAAAUGAUUAUGGUGUGUUUAAACUUCUUUCAUUAAUUACUACAUAUUUUCUACACUCAUAAUGUUUGUCAGCUCGCUAUAUAAUCAACUUAAAUCAGUUAUAUCUAUCAUGCAAUGCAUUUCCUUCCAAUUUUUUGUGAUAAACUAAUAGAUAAUUAACUAAAUAAACAUCCUGCAAAGUUUCAAUAAAAAUUUCCAAGUUUUUCUUACAAUUUCCAUAGUUUUUAUUCAAUUUUUAUCGAUAUCGAUAAUAUCCCGAUAUUUCCAUCGAAAUUUCCGUAUUUUUAGACUACCGAUAUUUCCAAUAUCAUCGAUAUUUAAUACCUUAAUAUCACCUACAAAUGAUUUUAACAUCCUUAAUUUUAAAAAUUAAAAAAUAAAACUCUCUCUCUACUCCCACGUUCUCAGUCACUUACUUCCUCUCUCUCUCUCCCUCAAUUUUAAAAACAAAAAUAAUUUUUUUAAAUAUUUUAUAAACACAUGAUCUUGUUGGUUUAAUCAGAUGCGAAAAUUAAAGAGAGGAAUCUACAUUUUCUACGACCAAGCGAACAGAGGAAUAGAGGGUUAGGAUGGCCGAUUCAUCUUCGUCUCCUUCACAGUCCUUCGUUACAAAGCAUUGGGAGGGUUACAAGGAUUUCUGGUGCGAGCGAUUCUCCUUCCUCAACAACUACUCCAAGUUCGUCAAGCGGGACAAGCCCCUCCCUCCCUGGUCCGACUCCGACGUCGAAGCCUUCAUUGCUCUCGACCCUGUCAAUGGCCCCGCUGUAAUUUCUUACCCUUCUGUCUUUCUUCCAUUUUAUUCCUUUUUAUAAUUGUUUAGGGUAUAUGGGUUUCUUUGAUUUCGUGUUUUUCUGACCUUUGUGGAUCUGGGUGUACGUAUUUUUGUUUCUCUUUUGAUCUUUUUUCUGUUUUUUCAUCUGGGUAUUUGUUAAUUUUUUUCUCCUUGAUUCAAUUUUGGAGAUGUGCCCCUUUUUGUCGAAUUUCUUGAUUUCAUUUUGGAGCUGUGCCCCUUUUCUUUUUUCGAGAUGAAUAAUGUUGGUUUGAGUUGAUGUAUUCAUCUGGGUGAGGUUUUUCCGUCUAUUGUUUCAUUAUUUUUUUCGCUUAUUGUUUAUGCUUGGUGCCUUUCGGUUACGAAUGAGUGAGGUUGGUGCUUUAAUGUUUGGAUGGUCUACGGGUGGGGUGUUUAAAUGGCUUAGGCAAAACGAUGAAUGGAUGUUCAGAAAUUUGCAUUAGAUUUGAUUCGAGACUGUUGUUUUUUUGGCAUGAAAGUAAUCAAAAUAAGCGACAUGCAGUGUUUGGAGUUGAAUUUUAGUUUAUUGAUGUUUUGAAGAGAAGGAGUAACAAACCUGAAAUCAAACUGAUGCGCAUGAACCAGUAGAGAAAGCAAAGAGCUAUGUGGCUGGAGACUCCGUCCUUAUUUUCUGUCAUGUAUUUCUGGUGGCAUUUUGUUUGGGACCCUUUGAAAAUGCUUUGUAAGCGGACAUGUCUGGUUAUUCGUGGAAACAGUCAAGAUUCUUGAUUGUUAAGAAAUUUUGUCUAUUUACCUGAGCAAGCAAGUAAACAACUAAUCAGUCUUGCCCUCGGAAAUUAUCGAGGUUCACUCCAAACAAACUGUAUUUUGUAUUUCCAGUGUGGAAAAGAAACACGUCUAAAUUGCUAUUCUCUUCUUUUUGGUAUCUUUUCAUAUGUCUUGUUAUGUUGCCACCGGCCUCCACCUGAAAUGCAGCAUAAAUGAAGUGGAAAAGCAUAUCUGAUUUUGUUUACCUUAUAUAUUUAGAUUUCUUAUUUAUUCUUUUGCAGCUCUAAGUAGUGGCUUUGUGCCACUUAGUACUGCGGUCUAGUGAUAUUCCUCUUCACUUGUAAGUGAGAGGUCUUAGGUUCGAUUCUCGCCAAAGGCGAAUUUGAACCACAUUAUUGCUAGCCCAUUUUGAGGCUAAGCCCACCCUCUCCCCCUUAGUGUAAAUAAUGUUGUUUGUUCAAAAAAAAAAAAAAAAAGUGGCUUUGUAUUUCUUGUUCAAGACAAAAAUGAAAGGUUUUCUAAAUGCAAACAAAUACCAUUUGCUAAUCUUCUGUUCCAAUCAUGUAUUAUACUAUUUUCUGGUAACCCAGUUAUUUUGCCUGCAACUUGACAAGAUGUCUGCUAAUAUGAUAACCGAGUCUCAUCUUAUGGUUCAAUGAUGCAUUUUCUGUACAGCUAAGGUGUGUUUUCUUUGAAUAGCUGAGUUAACACGCUUUUGUUUUGCAGCUGAAGACUGCUAGGGAAGCAGUGAACUUUGGUCUUACGGGAAGUGUUAUUGGAGCGGUAUCAACUGCUGGCUUUGCGUGGAAAUAUUCAAGGAGUUUACAUGGUAACAAUUUGCCUUUUCUUUUAGGGUUUACGAUUCUAUAUGAACAAGUACUGCACAAGGAUCAGAUGUAUCUGGUUCCUUGUUUUUACCUUCACUUAAUAAGCUGGCUAUUAGUUGGAUCUCUAAUUAUAGCACCACUUCUUCAGUUCGGCCUGACAUUUUUUUUGCUUUAAAGUUCAACAUUUUCUUUAAACAACCUUUCAAAUUUGUGGAUGAAUAAAAGAUGCAUAUCUAAUAAUUGGACACAUCAACACAUCUUGAUAUCUUAUUGAUGUACUAAGUUCGUGUUCACUGGCAAAAGAUGCUACUUAUGAAAAUGAUAGUGCUUAUAACUGGGUAUGAUAAGAUGGACUGACAUUGAUUUCUAUCAGUGGCAAAAAGAAAAUAUCGUAUGAAUAGUUCAUUAUUUCUUUCUUAUGUUUUUUUUUUUGUUUUCCAUUCCACUUGGCCUGCAUUGUCUAUCUAUAUUCUUGAAGCAUAAAUUUCUGCAAAAAUUUGGAUAUAUUUAGUACACGAAUUUUACCCUUUCCUUUAUUGGUUCCUGUAUGCUUUGGGUGUACAUGGGUGUGCCGUGUUUCCAAUAAACUACCUUCUUUUAUCAGGGACUUUGUCUCAUUGGUUAUUUUGUGGUGUCCUGUAAUCUCAAGGUUCGUAUGCAGUGGAAGAAAUUUUCCUUGUAAUCUAGGUUCUUGUUUCAACUGUUUCCCUUUCCAAGAGCCGGACUUUAUUUAAUCUGUAGCCUUCAUUGUUGAAAGCAAAUUAAGAUUAAGCAGUCAAGCUUUGGUAGGGAAUCAUAAAGCAGCGGUAGGUUAUGAUGCAAAUAUUCCCUUUGUCUAUUUGAGUGAGCUUAUGGUCGUGCAUACAGAAUAGGCUGUGAAGAUAUUAGUAACAUGUCUUGGUAGGAAUCAACCUUAUUCCUAUAUUACAUGUUGUAGUGUAUUACAACAGAUGAGUGCUAUCGCUCGGUGAUGCAUAUGACAUCUGUCUAGGAAUUUUAACUUGCAAUCUUCAUAUGUUUCAAUCAGGAGCAUUACGAUUGACGAUAGGUUCUUUUAGAAUACAUUAUGUUAUGGAUGGGAGGAUCUGGUUUCUGAACCCUUAUGCAUUUGGCAGGUGCUGGACUGUCCUUUCUAGCUGGAGGUGUUUUUGGCUGGACAUUUGGACAGGAAGUUGCAAAUCACUGGCUGCAACUUUACAGGUUCGACGCCUUGGCUGCACAAACCAAGUUCCUUGAGUGGUGGCAAGAAAAGAACGAGAGACGAUCUUAAACAUGGCUUGCUCUCGGAAGCAAAGAUAAUAACCGUUGUUCCAGUUGUACAAUAAGAAGCAAACACACCUGUGUUGAAAAUUGUAAUGGGAAAAGAUGGUAUUCACUUUAUAUUUGUGCUAGAUUGUUUUCUUUUGGGCUCUCAAGAAAAUCAAUCUGAUUGUGAACUUUGUGGACUGUGAUGGAUUUUUCGUGUGCGGAGAAAAUUGUUGGAUUUGGUGAUUAUUUCAGAUGUUACAGGUGACGUGCGAUCUUGGAUGCGCAUUUGACUUGUGACCCAAGGACGAGGUUUACAAUUAAAAUGCGUGUCUCUGGCUUCGUUAGAGUAGGAUGGCAUGACAAACUUGAAUAAGAGUUUUGACACCACUCAAGUAAAUUGUACAAAAUGGGCUUACGGUGGUUGUCUAUUCCAAGAUAAAAUGAUGUUCUUGCAAGCAACGCAACAGUCAAACUCGGUUCACGUAUUACCUCUACUGCAAUGAUCGCUGUACUUCCCCCGUUUUCUGGACACUAAUCAAGGAAAGCAAUUUUUGGAUCUGAACCCAAGUUGCUUCCAUCGAUUUAAAAUCGUUUUUGGCCUGCAUUGCUUUCUUCACCCAAGUUUUAUCAUGCAUACAAUGAUCCAGAAGCAGCUUCUGGCUGUGCUCAAGCUUGCAACGGAACUCAUCCAUUUCGGUUUUGUGGUUGGAAUUUAACUCCUCCAAUUUCUCCAAAUUACCUUUUUCUUCAACCAAUUUUUUCUCCAGCUCUUCAACCCUUGAUUUUUGUACAAUGAUGCAAGCUUGCAACUUUUCUUCAUCCGCUUGAGCUUUUGAAAAAAGGCGAUUAUAGACUUCUACUUCUUGUUCCAGUGCUAUCUUCUGAUUAAAUUUUUUUCUCACUUCAGCUACGGUUCCAUUGGCCUUGUGGUACUUGGACUUCACAGCAGCAAGCUUCACCUGGACAUUUUCAAUGUUCGCAUACUCAACUCCAGUUCGGUCAUAGGCGUUUAGCAAGAUUUCCAAUGACAACUUCAGGUUCCGUAAACAUUCAAUUUCCAUGACUUCAUCCAUAGAGAGUGCGGUGAUACUUUGGAUCUUGGCCUUGGCUUGAGAAAUCUCAUAGGAAUCAGGAAUGGGAGCAUCUUCAGUUAUAGCCAAGAGACAAGCAUCUGGAUGAUGAUGGAGAUAAGUAUCCAGAAAGUCCAAAGCUCGGGCAGAAUGCAGGGGCUUUGACAUCUAAAGUAAGAAUCAGUAAGCAUCAUAACAUGUAAGUGGAUACGAAAUAGUCGAGAUAGAUACAAAUUACCUUGACAUCAAGAUUGUCAUGAAAAUGGGAGCGGUAGGAACCACUUUCUUUACUUAUAGUAUUUGGAUGCGAUGACACUGCUUGAAGCGGGGAUUGAGCUACUUGAGGAGGCCGAGAUUCAGCUGAUUCUUCACUGGGAGGAGAUGAAAUUUGACUAGGAAGCUUCGCAUUUGAAGCAUCCGCAACCUCAGUAGGUGGCACAUCUUCCAGCUUAGGAAUACUGUUAUGUUCAGUUACUUCAGCAAUGUGUUGCAUAUCUAGAUCAGAUUGUUGUCUUUUUGACAGAGGAGGACUCGUGCUUUUCUCAUAGAUGGCUUCCUUAGCCUGAGAAUAGAAUUCAGAAUCGGACUUUGUUAGAUUAAUCAAAAGCCGGUGCACUUCUUCUUUGGUUAUCCUUGUCUUUCCAAAACUUUUGCCUCGUCUAAUCUCGGAUUCAUUUUUGGAUCGAUGAGUGGUUCCUUGGCUUGCCAAAACCUUUGCCUCAGUUGGGUUGGCAUGAGAUAGAUACUUCCCCUUUAUUAUACUUCUCCAAAACGGAAAUGCUUUUUUGGUCGUUCUUUUCUUACAAUGAGCUCUCCCUCGUCCACUCAGGCAUUGAAAAGUAGGCAGAGGAUUUGCUUCUUCUCCAUCCUCAACUUGCGGAGCCACACAUUUGAUUCUUUUUUCUGGUGGGUGUACUUGCAGUCGGUCAGAACAGGGGCGUUCAGUUUGUAUAAGGGUUGACUCUGCAUAAACAAGAAUAAGAAGAGAAAGUUACGAACUUUGAAGAUCAAAUAUUGAAGCCUUCAAACGUAGUCAGCCAUCGGAAAGGUCAACUCAUGUAACAACUAUUGAAGCCUUAAAAAUGUAAGCAGGUUGACCAACCCAGUUAAACUUAAGAGCAAUCUGAAUAAAGUGGAGUACAAAUUAAGAUACUUGAUCCAUCAGCCUUUACAAUUUUGUUGCAGUACUUCAUUAGGAUUAAUAUAAUAGUUGAUUGAUAAACUGUCUCACACAAUUGAUUAGGCAAGUAUUUCAGAUUGAACGUACCUUUACGCUUCUUCAAAGCAUCAUUUGCCUUAAGGGGAGGAAGUGGUCUGUUCUGGUCCAAGUCUUGAAGCUUGAAAAGAUGGAUUAAAUCUUGAUCACGAGGAAACACUUCCUCAUAGUAUUUUGCCCACCAGCCUUUGAACGAUGAGGUGGCUCUAGGUAGAAGUGAAAAUGGAACAAAUUUAAGUUUCUUGAACAAGUGAGAUGCGGUAGCCUCAAGCUCCUGGAAUUGUUCGGAACUUUGAAACACUGUCCUCUCAGAAAAGUCGGUAUUGAAAGAAAAGAAAGGGGGAGCAGGAACGUCCUGAAUCAAGCCGAACUGACGGGCACAGAGAUUUGGGCAAUAUGCUUCCACACCACAAAUUUUUUUUCCAGAUUUUCCACAAGUGAUACAACCAGGAAGAUCACGGCUAACCAGAAAGCUUGCCCACAUGUCCAGGAUUGUAGAAAUUCCAGUUUUGGUCAUUUCAGACCGAGGAAAGAUCAACCAUCGAGGCAACGCAUCUGACUUUGAAUAUGGCAUGAAGUUAAAGUUCUCUUCUGUGUCUAAGUGGCUCAGGUACAAUAAACAAUCGUGAAAGGAAAACUCGGGUCCUUCGAAAAAUACAUAUUUCAGUCCUUCACAAGUGAGGUUGGGUACUGAAAAGCAACUGGGACGUACUUUAGGAAAGUAUGUGUGAAGCCAAAGUUGAAGAAUCCAAAUUGGACCACCAGCAGCACCCAACUCUGAAUCAAGCAAGUCCUUUAUCCCUCUAUACAAGUAAGCAAGAACAAGGGGUCCUAAAGCGUACGGCUCACCCCUAGAUAAAGCCACAGCCAAGGGUAAAUUGGAUGUAACAAUCUUGAACGAACGAGAACAAAGGAGGUAACGACAAAGCCAGUAGUGAAGAAAUGCCACAUGCUCUUCAUCUGUCACAAGGCCCUCAAUUUUGUUAUGUUCUUUAAUAAAGGAAGAAAAGGAGGAGUUCUUUGUAAUUCGAAUGCCAAAGUUAUCAUCCGGAAUGGAGAUGGAAUUAGCAACGAGAGCAUCAAACUGGGGACCAUCUGGUCUAAGUCCUAGCAGAGCACUAAGAUCUAACAGAGUAAUAGUAAGGGGACCAUGACGAAGAUGAAAAGAGUUUGUGGAAGUUGACCAAAAGCAGAGUGCAGCAAGUACUAAAGAACGAUUGAAAGGAAUGGCAAACUUAGAGAAUUGGAGAAUAUCAUAUAUUCCCGCUUUAUGCCAAAUAUAGCCUUUUUGAUCUUCGACUCUUUCAAACCAAGGGACCCAAUUAGGGUCGUUAGUAGGCCACAAACCACGGUGUUCAUAAAACCUUUCGUAGAAUUUGGCAUUUUGAUUGUUUAGAAGAAACUCUUCAGUUUUCCGCUUAGGAAACUCACUAUUAUAACAAUCAGGUAACCUUUUUGUGGAUUUCAGAGCAGGACCUAAGAUAAAGUGUUGGGAAGUCGAAUCAGGGAUAAGUACUUGAAAAUUUGUAGUUUCGGUGCCUAUUUGCUCCUUCAGGUGGUUCAAUCUGUCAAGAGCCUUGGCGUUGGCGUCAGCCGAUUCAUUGCUGGUGGAUGUAAGAGCCAUGUUUCCACACAGAGGUCCUCCUGCUUAUAGAAAAUUUCAACACAAAAUAAAAAUUACUAUUUUUCCAGACUGGUAUCACCAAUCUUCCAUUGUAUCAUUCAAAUUUUAAAUUUUAACCAAAACUUAAAUAAACAAUUUGGGUUAAAAAAAAAACUGCCUUGCAGACUUGCGGUGCGCCCUUUUUCCCCCAAAAAGCUCAAGAAAGCAACUGCACAAACAGAUUAAAAGCAAAUAAAAUUAGGGUUACAUGUAUGACUGUGAGUAGUUAGAAAAGAAACGAUCCGACGAUUAAGACAAGCAUGCAAUGCAUCAGACAGAAGAAAAAUAAUAGAAAUGGAGUAGAUGAUAAAACUAGGGUUAGGGUUUAGCCUUUAGCUUUGCACAUUUCAAUGGAAACAAUUACUGCUAAGUUGAGGCAUGGCAUGAAAAAACUUGCACGCACAAACCAAAACAAGUAGAUAGCUCAAAAGAAGCUUUAAUUCCAAGAUAAUGAAGAAUCAUAAUUUUUACCGAUUCAAACGAAACAAAGAAGAUCAGAAUCAGUUCUCUUCUUUUUCUACACGUUCUUGUUUUGUUGUUUGUGUUGGAAGAAGCGAGGGGAUGGAAAUCUUUUUACAGUGGAAAUGGAGCAACUGAAGCCUGCAGGGAGAGGAGGCUGAGAAGUCUUGUGGUGUACUCUUCUAUUACUGUUUCUGUCUUUUAAAACACAAAAUAUUUUUGCUCACGGGUCACCGCUCACACAUCUAUACUAGCUAUAAUACUCAUCAUCUUAUUUAUUAUUAUCAAAUAAAAUUUAAAUUUAAUAUUAAGCGCAAAUUUCCAUAUUUAAAUUUAUUUAACAAAAAAUAAGUGAAUUUUAACGAAAAGUUUCAGGUACUGUUUAUUUUAAUGAAAAAUCAUAUUUUUACACUAAAAAGUCAAUCCUAGUAUUAUUUACUUUACCCUUUAUUUUAUCUUUAUCGUUAAAACUCACAACUUUCAAAUCAUUUGAAUUAGUUUUCCUUAUAAAUAAAUAGAAUGAUGACAACUUUCAAAUCAUUCGCAUUAGUUUCCUUAUAAAUAAAUAGAAUGAUGGACACAAUUGAGCAAAAUUGCACCCUUUCAAGCAUUACUUUUUCUCGGGAAGAGCAUGUCAUUAUAUCAAACAAAGAAUUUUAGUUGUUUUCAAGAAGUUAUAUUUGAAUUGAUUCUUUACCUUAGUAAUUAAGUCAAAAAAGGGUUUCCGAAAGAAAAAAAAAGUCAAAAAAGGUGAUUAAAGUAUUCUUCUUCACUAAUAUUUAUAAUAUGGUUUAAUGAUUUUUUUUUGUUUGUUAAUGAAAAUUUUUAGGUUCAAAUCUCGUGAAUGACAAGUUCGAUAUCAAUUUAUUUAUGUAAUUAUUAGUAAAUUGUAAAUAAAAUAAAAUAAAAUACAGACACUUAUAAAUUUUAGAGCUUAGAGUGGUGUAAAAAAAAUAAAAAAAGUCUCUAUUUUAGAUAACUUACCAUAUUUAAGUACUUUACUUUACCACAUUACUUUCCAUAUGAAAUUCCUACCAUCCAUAAUUCAGAUAUUUUUAUUCUUUUUCAAUCAUAUUAAUAGAUAAAAAUGUAUUAAAAAUUCAAUUUUUAUAAUUUAAAAAAAAACUAAUUCAGUGUUUAUGAGCGUAACAAACUUAUAUUAGCAAAGUCAACAUCAAUGCAAAAACAAUUUAUGUUUAAAAAUAAAUCAUAGGUACAAAAAUAUAUAUCGGUACCUAAGCUUUGGUAUGUAAUUACGUUACGGAAAUAUUGGUACAUAAGUUUUGGUACAAAUGUUUCAAUAUGUAACUAUAGUAUCUAUACAUACAGUGGCGAAGCCACGUGAGGGCGAGGAGUGGCCGCCGCCACUCCCCUCGCCGGGAAACACCACUGGAGAGCUGGGUUCGCCACUCCCCUCGCGCCUCGUCGGAAAACCCUGGUUCAUCUUCUCCUCUGUUUUUGCUGGGCAAUCUGUUCUGCGCGCAGCAGAUUGCUGUUUUUUUUUUUUUUUAAAUCCAAGCCAAAACGACGUCGUUUUGGGCUUAAAAAUUUUAAAACAAAACAGCGCCGUUUCAGCCAUUACCAAUAUGUUUCAUUUCUCCAUUGGUUUCACAGCCACCCAAUUGGGUGUCUCUUGUUUCUGAUUCCCCGCGGGCUUGUACCUGUGCAACUCGAGAAUCUUGUGUUCGAGCCUGACGACAAGGAUUGAAACUUCGUUGCCUCGCUGGGUUGUGGUGGUGGAUCUGCUCGUAGAAAUCGUACAGCUCCCAGAGGUGGUCCAGCGGCAACGGCGGCGGCAACUGCAGUGACAUCCUCACUAACGAUUAUGCCGUCGUUUUUGGUACUAUCUUUAAUUCCAUUGUUGACUCAAUUCAAUUUUUUAUAACCCCGAAACAAUAAAAAGUGAAAAUUUGGGUUGGGUUUUUGUGGAUUGGAAAUUAAUUGCAUUGCAUAGAAUUAUAGCGUAAUGUUGUUAUUUAUUAUUAAUUAUUGAUAUGAACCAUUUGAUGAAUGAAAUUGUUGAUAUUGAUAUGAAUGAAUAUUGAUGAAUGAAGAUUAGUGAUGAAUUUGUUGAUUAUUGAUAAUUUGAAUUAUUGAAUAAUUUAUAUAAUUACUGAUAUUGAGUAAUUGAAUUGUUAGUUUAAUUAGUUAUUAGUCAUAUAAUAAAGUUACUCUAGCAUUAAUACAUUACGAGACUGUAACUUUUUAGUUAUUAGUCAUAACAUAAAAUAUCGCCAACAAUAAUUGUAACUUUCUAUGUAAAGAAUUUGAUUGUCUACAUUGUUUUAGAACCCUUUACGCUUUUAAGUUUCGCCCCUCCGCUCGACAAUUUCUGGCUUCGCCACUGUAUACAUAUAUAGAUACGUAAUAUGCAUAUACAUAUAUAUAGAGAAAUUCACGCAUGAAUAGUUGAUGAUAUAUGACUUUUCUUAUUAUGGGAUGGACAAAUUUUUAAUUGUUUGCAAGGAUCAAUAAAUAACCUAUACACAAAACAAACUCAAUAAUUAUUAUUACAAUCUAAUUAAUAUAAAAAAAUUACAAUUAAAUGUCAAGGACUAGCGUUUAGCUUUUUAAUCUUGCACAAGGUUUUAUUCUAAAAUGGAUAUUUUUCAACGAUUAUAAUGAAAUUUUCUGAAAAAUAUCUAGCUUCACUUGUAGGUAGAAAAUGUGACAGCUUGUCCCGGACGUAUAUAUUAUUUAUCCUCGAGAGCGUGGGAAAACUAUUAUACCCUUGUUAUUAUUGAGUUGUGUGUGUGUAUUAACUAAGGUUUUGGACCAAUAGGUUCUAUCCUUUAUUAUUUGGACCUAAUUAGAACUAAAGACUUAAGAUUUUGGUUGGUUGACUGCAAACUAGACCACACACACAUACCUUCCCCUUAUCCCGUUGACUCUCUCUCCUUCCUCUCGCAUUUUCUUCCAUGUCUGUACAAUUGUACAAACAAACCUUGAACCCUCCAUUUCACGCAGGGAUCGAGCUCGUGGUUAGCAUCAUCGUCUUCAUCUCAUCGUCACACACUCAUCUAUACCAUUUUUAGAACGUGAAUACCUCAUUUUCCCGAGAACCCAGUUUUGGGUCACUGUUCAUGCACUUGUGUUAUCGAAGUUUUUAAGAGAUUUAAAGCUACUAGUGAGCUUUAGGACAUCUUCACGAAGCUCGAAGAAGAAAAACGAAGUGAAUUGGACGUCGGGAAGUCGAGUUUGGUGAGUUUCAAGUUUGGUCGGAUUAUCGAGGUUCCCCUGCUGAAAUCUCGUGGAUUUCAAGGCUUGAAAGUGGUAAGGUUUGUUCCUCUAGUCCUAAGCUUCAUUUUGGUACAAAUUUCAUGAAAUUUGGUUGAGAAAUGAGCGGGAAAUGACGAUUUGAAGUUUUUCAAUUUUCCGGGGACGGAGUCGGUCAUUGGAGUUUGAAGGUUGAAGACGACGAAAUAUUCCGUCAAGUUUGACGGAAUAUUCUGACGGCAUCAGGUUAGUUUUAAUGAAAUAUGCUGUUUUUUGAAGGAAUAUUCCCUAUCGCCAUUAAAGAUUCUGUUAGGCACGUGGCCGCGUGUGGGGGAGCGUCUGGCCGUGCCCUUGCAGGCGCGUGGGGCAUCGCAAAUUUUUUCUAAAAAUAUGGGGGUGUUCCUGAGGUUGAGUAGGUUAUGGUGGUAUAUUCAAAUGCCCUAUUUGAGCAUUGUAUGAAAAGUUCAUUCCUAGUUUUGUGUAUAUGCUUUAAAUAACGUUUAUUCAGUUAUUUCGCAUAUAGGUGAGACCUAUCCUGAGGACGAGCACCAUCAAUCGAGGCUCGGGGGCUACGACCCUUCGACAUAUCAGUGAGUGGGCUUUUGGUUUUCCGUAUAUACCUAUAUACUUGAGAUUUUUCCUAGAAAAUGAAUUUGAAUGAUUAUACGUUUUGAAAUGCCAUGCAAAGUAUCUACCUAUUUUAUUUGUGCAUUAGUAAGUUGCAUAUAAUUAUGAUUGGUGAUGCGGACGCACAGGUAAGUGCCAGGUAAGUUCAUAAAUUAAAGAUGUGAGAUUACUUCAGUUAUGCGAGUUAUGAUGUGAUGUGAUGAGAGCUCAUAAACUUGCACCCGGUGUUAGUGCUCCCGCCCAGAGUUAGGGCACAAUCCUUCAUGUAAUGUUCACCUCCCACACCGUAUGCUCACCUUGGAUCCAAGUUAGGUGCACAGUCUUGUCGUACAGACCACUUUAGGUGGUUUCGACUCGUAGGUGACCCGCGAUUAUUCGCACAGCCUUUACGUGAUCGUAGCACUAUAGCAUAUUUAAUUUACACCUAGUCUUGUCAUACAGACCACUGUAGGUGGUUCCGACUCGUGUGCAGGAUUUGAUUUGAUAUGAUUGAGAUUGGUUAUGAGCUAUAUACUCAGCAGUGCAGUUUGAGUUAGAGAGAUUUGGCUGAUGCGAUAUUUGACAUUUAUAUAUUUUGCCUGGUUUAUCUAUAGCAUUGCAUUGAGAUACUUUGGCAUGGUAUACUGAUAUGAGCAUAUUUAUGCGCCUUAGUUAGCUAGUUCUUAUGCAUUUUCGUUAUGUUUUCUUAGUUAAAGUAGUCUUUUAAGCUAUUUUCAUGUGUUUUCAAGUUUUAAGGGCGUAUUAUACAAAUAGAUGCAAAUUGGAGCUUUUGGAGCACAAUUGAGCUUGGAUUGGACAUCACAUACUUGGAGCCAAAAGAAUGGACGAAAUUGAAGAUUUGAAGAUGAUGAUUCCUACUUGAACAAGGUUUCCUAGUUGAAGUAGGAAAGUGCCUAAUUAAAGAUGGAAUCCUAGUUGACAAAGGAUUCCUAGUUGACAAAGGAUUCCUAGUUGAAGUGGGAUUCCUAGAAGAUUGAAGAUUUCUACUCAAACAAGGUUUCCAUUCUUUGAGUCUAGUUUAGUGUUUUAAACUUUGUUUUAGUCUUUUAGAGUUUAGAGUUUAGAGUUUAGAGUUUAGAGUUUAGAGUUUAGAGUUUAGAGUUUUAAACUUUCUAAUUGAAGUGGUUUGUUUUAGUCUUUUAGAGUUUAGUUUUGCAUUCUUUGAGUCUAGUUUAGUGUUUUAAACUUUGUUUUUACGUUUUGAAUCAGAUUUCAAGUGAUUGAGCAAUCCCUCCUAAUCCCCGGCCUAGAACGAUCCCUACUUACAUACUUUGCUACAAUUGAUAAAAGAGGGUUUAAUUUGUGUGCUUAUAUAUUUCGCAUCAUAUACUUCUAUGGAUUUUCAUCUUGAGUAUGAUUUCUGAUUCAGAUUAUUAUUAUUAUUUUCUGGGAAGUUAUACAUGUUUUACGGCGAGGGGUUAGAACUUUUGAGAAAUGAAAUGAUUUUGAAAAGCUUUGUUUUUGCCCACUCACACUUUCUGUUUUACGCCCUUCCAGGUUUUAGGUAGAAGUGCUUGGUGGAUCACGAGGAUUGGGAUGGGGGUUCUGACAAAAUAUCAUUAAUGUAGGAUCACCUUUGGGUGUUGAAUAAUUAGUACUUGUCCUACUUGACUGCACUUAGGAUAUUUAUGCUAUGGUUGUGUAUUUCACGUUUAAUCUCACACUAACACUUUAUCUUAACUAGUUCUGCUAGUAGUUUGGUUUUUAUUCCUUUGCAAUUCCCUUAUAUCUUUAUUGCUUCCGCACUGUGCACAUGGUUACGUCACUCCCACAUGACGGCCAGCAUGCCCUGAUUUAGGUCAGGGUGUGUCAGUUUGGUAUCAGAGCAUUAGGUUUGCAGUCCUGCAUGUCUUGAGAAUUUCUAAUUAUUUUGAUGUCUUCUGUCAGAACUAUGCCGCCUCGUAGAGAUCCACGUCCUUCUGUUGAGCCUAGUUUCCCCAAUAUAGCUCAGUGAGGGGAAGCUAUAGCAAAUGCUAUUCAGUCUUCGCUUCGUCCUCCCCAAAGAACACCCCUUGAAAAUGUGUAUAACCUGAAGCUGAAUCAUUUUAUAUGGAAUGAAGGACAUGAAGGAGCGGAGAAAUGGAUUAAUCAUAUUGAGAAGACUUUUCGUGUAAUGCAGAGUCAGGGGAAUCUUCCUCCUGAUAGGUAGGUCGAGACGACUACCUGGUUUUUAGGUCAGGAGCCUGCAUCCUGGUGGAGACAGGAGUCUUAUCAAUUGACCCCAAAGGAAAUUGCGGACUGAGAGGUAUUUAAACAGUUGUUUCAGAAAAGGUUUAUUCCCCCUGAGUAUAUUGAUCACAAAAAGCAAGAGUUUACUCAAUUAAAGUAGGGGAAGAUGACGGCAAAUGAGUAUUAUAGGAGAUUCACUGACUUGUCUCGUUAUCAUCCGAAGGUUGCUGCUAAUCCAGUUGCGAUACUCCGUCAUUUCAGGUUGGGUACAAAAAAGAAAUGGCGUUAUAUAGCGACCUUAACUCCCUGUGCUGCUUACUAGGAGUUUUAUGAGAUUUUGUUGAAGAUUGAGGACUCAGAACACAUGCCCAAUGAAAGUGAAGAUGAAGAAGAAAAGAACGGGAAUCAGAGGCGAGAUGAUAAAGGUAAAGGUCAGUCUUCUCAAGGACCUUAUAAGACUCAGAGUUUUAAGAGGAGUGGAACUAGUUCUAGCUCUUCUAGCAGAGGUUUUAGUGCCACUGGUCAGAGUGUUAUCCAUUCAAUUCAAUGAAUCUAAGGAAAUCUGAUAAUCAAUUGGUGCAAUCUAAUUAAUUUGGGGCAUUGUCAUUCAUGGUUUAUCGAAAGAAUAACUGGAAAUCGAUUCGUAUGCCUAUGUUUUAUGUGUGGAGAAGGAACCCUCUAACUAGCCUUUCACCCAUUCUAUUUCAUUCAAUUUCGAGUUUUUAAAGUUUGUUUUACAAGUUUCUGUUUUUAAGUUUUAAUUUCGUCAAAACAAAUUCCCUUUUUCUUAAGUCUUGUUUUUAGAGUCAAAACCUGUUUUCUUUUAGUAUUUUGAGUCAAGUUAAGUUUUAUUUUCGUCCAAAUCACUUGUUAGGUCUAGAAUUGAGUCCUCUUGAUUGUUUGUUGCUGUUUUGAGUAUUUUAAGUCAGUUUUGAGUCUAUAGAGUCUAGAAUUCGAGGCAUUGUCAUUCAUGGUUUAUCGAAAGAAUAACUAGAAAUCGAUUCGUAUGCAUAUGUUUUAUGUGUGAAGAAGGAACCCUUUAACUAGCCUUUCACCCAUUCUAUUUCAUUCAAUUUCGAGUUUUUAAAGUUUGUUUUACAAGUUUCUGUUUUUAAGUUUUAAUUUCGUCAAAACAAAAUCCCUUUUUCUUAAGUCUUGUUUUUAGAGUCAAAGCUUGUUUUCUUUUAGUAUUUUGAGUCAAGUUAAGUUUUAUUUUCGUCCAAAUCACUUGUUAGGUCUAGAAUUGAGUCCUUUUGAUUGUUUGUUGCUGUUUUGAGUAUUUUAAGUCAGUUGUGAGUCUAUAGAGUCUAGUUUAGUGUUUUUUAGUCUUAUUUGCAUUGAUUAGCAGCCCUAAUUAAUCCCCGGUCUAAAACGAUCCCUACUUACAUCUUUACUACAAUUGUCAAUAAUAGGGUUUAAUUUGUGUGUCGAGUUAAUUUUCUCAUCAGAUUGCAACAUCCCACAUCGCCCAAUGGAGUGGAUCUUGUAAGCCUUAUAUGUAUAUUCCUAUCUCUACCUAGCACGAGGCCUUUUGGGAGCUCAUUGGCUUUGGGUUCCAUUGGAACUCCGAAGUUAAGA